CCUACGGGUGGCAGCAGUGGGGAAUAUUGAACAAUGGGCGAAAGCCUGAUCCAGCCAUGCCGCGUGUGUGAAGAAGGCCUUCGGGUUGUAAAGCACUUUCAGUGGGGAAGAAAGCCUUGGGGCUAAUACCCUCGAGGAAGGACAUCACCCACAGAAGAAGCACCGGCUAACUCCGUGCCAGCAGCCGCGGUAAUACGGAGGGUGCGAGCGUUAAUCGGAAUUACUGGGCGUAAAGCGCGCGUAGGCGGUCUGAUAAGCCGGUUGUGAAAGCCCCGGGCUCAACCUGGGAACGGCAUCCGGAACUGUCAGGCUAGAGUGCAGGAGAGGAAGGUAGAAUUCCCGGUGUAGCGGUGAAAUGCGUAGAGAUCGGGAGGAAUACCAGUGGCGAAGGCGGUCUUCUGGACUGACACUGACGCUGAGGUGCGAAAGCGUGGGUAGCAAACAGGAUUAGAUACCCCUGUAGUC
RNAcentral lists this ribosomal RNA (465 nucleotides) under Vreelandella stevensii. Its description in RNAcentral is "partial 16S ribosomal RNA". It matches the Rfam family "Bacterial small subunit ribosomal RNA", at positions 338 to 795 of the family's 1533-position model. Lineage: Bacteria; Pseudomonadati; Pseudomonadota; Gammaproteobacteria; Oceanospirillales; Halomonadaceae. The record is from RNAcentral.